AAGUAGUGUGACAUGUCCGUUGUUUGAUGAACUCUGAUUAUUUUAUUUAUUAUUAAUGAUUUUUGGGAUAACGGGGUGUUACAUCAUG
MicroRNA precursor from Medicago truncatula (barrel medic), 88 nucleotides. It matches the Rfam family "MIR2617 microRNA precursor family". The record is from Rfam. NCBI's taxonomy places the organism in Eukaryota, Viridiplantae, Streptophyta, Magnoliopsida, Fabales, Fabaceae.